UCCAUUGAAUUCAAUAUCAGUGAGUUUCUCAAAUGUUGGAUGUUUUGCUAGCAGUGAUUUCUUUGUUCUAAUUCCUUUUACUUUAUACCAAUGUUUUUAUUCUCAAAGUUUAAUUUAUCUAUUUCAUUAUGGUGUUUUCUCAUAGGAUGCAAGCUCUAGUUGAGGACUACAUUUUCAGUGGAGGCAUUUUCUCUGUGCCGGUAUUUCAAUAUACUAAUGAGGAAAAAAGCUCUCAAGCGAGCUAUCUUCUUUGUAUAUUUCAAACCAAGUUCAAAUGGACCCUUUGAUCGUCAAGCUUCUUGAGGAUGAUGAGGUUAACAACAUUCUUCUAAGAUUUACCUUUUGCUAUAUUUAUUGAAGGAUGAGACCAUACAUUCUAGAAAGGAUGUGGAGGCAUUAACAGCUGCCUUAAAUAGAGAUAUUGGAGGACACGUCUAUUUUUCAGCCUGUUGAUCUAGAUGCUAGAUGCAAGCUCUGGUUGAGGACUACAUUUUCAAUGGAGGCAUUUUCUCUAUGUCGGUAUUUCAGUAUACUAAUGAGGAAAAAAGCUCUCAAGGUACUCUCUCUCAGAAGAGCACUUUGUUUGGAUGAUCAAGAUUCACAUUAGAUUGGGUAUAGAUAAAACUUAUGUGAAUACUUGGUUGUGCAUGUACAGCUAUUC
Long non-coding RNA from Magnolia sinica, 661 nucleotides. RefSeq lists it as uncharacterized. Lineage: Eukaryota; Viridiplantae; Streptophyta; Magnoliopsida; Magnoliales; Magnoliaceae. The record is from RefSeq and is a predicted model, not a curated record. The transcript is spliced from 5 exons.